CCUGUAGCUCAACUGGAUAGAGCGUCUGACUACGGAUCAGAAGGUUAUGGGUUCGACUCCUGUUAGGUG
This 69-nucleotide transfer RNA is filed under the name uncultured Leptotrichia sp. It matches the Rfam family "tRNA". Rfam says of the family: Transfer RNA (tRNA) molecules are approximately 80 nucleotides in length. Their secondary structure includes four short double-helical elements and three loops (D, anti-codon, and T loops). Further hydrogen bonds mediate the characteristic L-shaped molecular structure. tRNAs have two regions of fundamental functional importance: the anti-codon, which is responsible for specific mRNA codon recognition, and the 3' end, to which the tRNAs corresponding amino acid is attached (by aminoacyl-tRNA synthetases). tRNAs cope with the degeneracy of the genetic code in two manners: having more than one tRNA (with a specific anti-codon) for a particular amino acid; and 'wobble' base-pairing, i.e. permitting non-standard base-pairing at the 3rd anti-codon position. The record is from RNAcentral. Lineage: Bacteria; Fusobacteriati; Fusobacteriota; Fusobacteriia; Fusobacteriales; Leptotrichiaceae.